AGUGAACGCUGGCGGUAGGCCUAACACAUGCAAGUCGAACGGCAGCACAGUAAGAGCUUGCUCUUACGGGUGGCGAGUGGCGGACGGGUGAGGAAUACAUCGGAAUCUACUUUUUCGUGGGGGAUAACGUAGGGAAACUUACGCUAAUACCGCAUACGACCUACGGGUGAAAGCAGGGGAUCUUCGGACCUUGCGCGAUUGAAUGAGCCGAUGUCGGAUUAGCUAGUUGGCGGGGUAAAGGCCCACCAAGGCGACGAUCCGUAGCUGGUCUGAGAAGAUGAUCAGCCACACUGGAACUGAGACACGGUCCAGACUCCUACGGGAGGCAGCGGUGGGGAAUAUUGGACAAUGGGCGCAAGCCUGAUCCAGCCAUACCGCGUGGGUGAAGAAGGCCUUCGGGUUGUAAAGCCCUUUUGUUGGGAAAGAAAAGCAGCAGGUUAAUACCCCGCUGUUCUGACGGUACCCAAAGAGUAAGCACCGGCUAACUUCGUG
Molecule: ribosomal RNA, 492 nt
Filed under: uncultured bacterium
Lineage: Bacteria
Description: partial 16S ribosomal RNA
Rfam family: Bacterial small subunit ribosomal RNA
Source: RNAcentral